AACGAACGCUGGCGGCAGGCCUAAACAUGCAAGUCGAGCGGGCAUAGCAAUAUGUCAGCGGCGGACGGGUGAAUAACACGUGGGAACAUGCCCUUUGGUACGGAACAACUCAGGGAACUUGAGCUAAUACCGUAUGUGCCGGUAACGGGAAAGAUUUAUCGCCAAGGAUUGGCCCGCGUCCGAUUAGCUAGUUGGUGAGGUAACGGCUCACCAAGGCGACGAUCGGUAGCUGGUUUGAGAGAACGAUCAGCCACACUGGGACUGAGACACGGCCCAGACUCCUACGGGAGGCAGCAGUUGGGAA
This 304-nucleotide ribosomal RNA is filed under the name uncultured bacterium. RNAcentral's name for it is "bacterial SSU rRNA". It matches the Rfam family "Bacterial small subunit ribosomal RNA", at positions 29 to 361 of the family's 1533-position model. The record is from RNAcentral.